This 253-nucleotide ribosomal RNA is filed under the name uncultured bacterium. RNAcentral describes it as "partial 16S ribosomal RNA". It matches the Rfam family "Bacterial small subunit ribosomal RNA", at positions 524 to 776 of the family's 1533-position model. The record is from RNAcentral.
UACAGAGGGGGCUAGCGUUAUUCGGAAUUAUUGGGCGUAAAGGGCGCGUAGGCGGCCAUGCGUGUCUUCCGUGAAAUCCCUCGGCUUAACUGAGGACGUGCGGAAGAAACUGCAAGGCUCGAGUCCGGGAGAGGGGGGUGGAAUUCCCAGUGUAGCGGUGAAAUGCGUAGAUAUUGGGAGGAACACCAGUGGCGAAGGCGGCUCACUGGACCGGUACUGACGCUGAGGCGCGAAAGCGUGGGUAGCAAACAGG